Long non-coding RNA from Astyanax mexicanus (Mexican tetra), 1241 nucleotides. RefSeq lists it as uncharacterized. The transcript is spliced from 3 exons. NCBI's taxonomy places the organism in Eukaryota, Metazoa, Chordata, Actinopteri, Characiformes, Acestrorhamphidae. The record is from RefSeq and is a predicted model, not a curated record.
AGACAUGAAGUGAGUCUGAAGAAGAGAAGUGGGUCCCACUCGAGCUCCUCAGGCAAAAGCAGCCUUUGAGGGUGCCACAUGCCUGCUUUCCAUCCAAGUUCACUGGGGUAGAGUACACAGGAGAAGCCGACGUAUGCAGGGAGACGUGCGGGGAGAGGGAAGACCAGCCGGCGAUUCAUGUAUUAAGUGAAGGAGUGUGAAAUAAAGAGCAUUGUUUAUUAUGCAAUACAGUUCAGCAAUUAUGGUGAUAUAGUUUAGGUUACACCUAUAAACAAAUUGAAUUCCUGUAUGAGAUUUACAGUAAUCUUACUGUAAAAAUACGGAAAGUGGGGAAAAAUGCAAUUCUGUUUAUUUGUGCCUUUCCAUUUCAGAUGAGGAAAUCCACUCACAAAUCCACUACAUUUGCUGUGCUCCUGCUUUGCUAGGCAUUAUUCAAGUGCCAAACAAAACAUAUUCAUCAUUGUCUUUUAAUCACAUCAAAAAGAAAUAUAGUGCCACCCCAGGGUGUUGGCAGGAAUAGACAGUCCUCUGUGAUGUUAUUGUUUCCAGUGCUGCCAAACAAUCCAGAAAAUUGACUUAGAAUAAAUGUAUUUUUAAUAUGAUAACUCAAGGCUGCCCCAGUGAAUACAGAGGCGCUCUUUGUCAAUUGUUUUUUUAGAGAUCAGUGCAGCACAUUAAAGAUAGGGAGCACUGUAUGAUACACAGCGAUUAAGCCUUCCUGCACUGCAUCCUCCUCUAGCUCUAGAUCCUCUGUGUUUUUAUGUACAUUUUCUACCCACCCUUGACCCUAACCUAGUGCAUGAGAUAAGUGAUGAUAUGACAUCACAUUAGCAUGCAAAACGGAUGCUGUAUCACUGCGCACAAUAUUGCCACAUCUGAGAAAUUUCUCAUAUAUUCUCAUGCAGUAUAUCCCAACAGCGUAUUCCAAUAACACAGUAACCGUAAAAUUAGAGCUGGUGUCUCAACUGAGUAGUGGAUGUUGGAAUUGCAUAUUUUUUAAGCUUCAGCAGAAAACUAAAUAAAAUAAAACAAAACAAGCCAAUAAAUGACAGGCUGAGCUGCCAGCAGCACAAUGAAUAGACCUCUAUUAUUCUCCAGAUACAUCUUAGUUUACGUGUGUGAGCACCAAACUCCAUGAUGCUCUGCUGACAGAUCUUCAGAACUAAUGUAUCAUUAUUUUUUUCCACUUGAAUUGUGGAAACGAGACUGAUUAUGUCCUUUCCCGCUUUGUUCCUACUAUA